Salvelinus fontinalis (brook trout) is the source of this 1667-nucleotide long non-coding RNA. RefSeq lists it as uncharacterized. NCBI's taxonomy places the organism in Eukaryota, Metazoa, Chordata, Actinopteri, Salmoniformes, Salmonidae. The transcript is spliced from 3 exons. The record is from RefSeq and is a predicted model, not a curated record.
UAAUGAGAGAACUCGAGGUUCUCUUAUUAUUGCUAUAAUCUGCAUUUUGGUUGCUUCAGGCCUUGUUGGACUUGCAAUCUAUCUUAAGAAGAGGAGAAACGGACACUCACAUACAGAUUCAGCUGAAAGAAAGCAAGAUGUCAUCCAGUAUACAGAGAUAACUCACAUUAAACCAGCAGAAAACCAGGAGGAGCGAAGAGGUAUACCAGAACUGGAUCUGCUUAGAGACAACCCUAACCUCAACAUUAGUUUAUUAUACACUCCAGUAACAUCACAUGGCUGCCAGCGAGGAUGUUGACACAGCAUGAAGGAGAGAGAGAACAGCAAGUUACUGAGAGGGUAACAUGAUAAUUCACAUCCAAGAGAAGGUGUUACCUCUUACAGUGGAUGUUGAGACAAAAUUAUAGUAAAUAUUCAUCUGGAAAACUUAAUGGAGGCACAGUUGUUACUGGAGGAAAUUCCCAUUUAACGAUUGUGCUGUUAUCAUUUCAAACUUCCUUUGUUGGUCAUUCUCACAGUCUCUUGUUGAUUUGGGGGCUUGAUGAGAUUCACUGAUGCAGACAAAUUCAAUAACUAUGCCUAGGGUUAUUAGAAGGAUGAUCCCUCUUUUCAAGUGCCCAUUGUCCAAAUGUAUAGGUUAUUAAAACAAAUGGAACCUCUUUUAAUACAAUUAAUUAGUGUACUUACUAUACUACUGCUGUGCCAAAGCUUCUUUUCAGUAUUGUCUGUUCUGUUGUUUAAAUGUAGGUGCCACCCCUGUAUAUUUUUUUAUAACUGGUCAUUAUUUAGCUUGCCAGUGGAUAGUAGCUGUGAACAUAAAAAGUAGAUGUUUGGUGAGAUAAAGCCACCUACUCCUCAGCACAAUGGCUAUUAGUGUAAUGGCUUUCGUUGGUGGAAGGACCAAAAUGCAGCGUGGUACGUAUCCAUAAUAUCAUUUAAUCGAGAAUGAAUACAAAAUACAAAAGAACAAGAGAAUAAAUGAAAAUCGAACUGGUACCGAUUGGUACUAACACAUGAAACAAUCACCCACAAAACACAAUAGAAAACAGGCUACCUAAAUAUGGCUCCCAAUCAGAGACAACGACUGACACCUGCCUCUGGUUGAGAACCAUACUAGGCCAAACACAUAGAAAUAUAACAUACAGAACAAAACAUAGAAUGCCCACCCCAACUCACGCCCUGACCAAACUAAAAUAAAGACAUAAAAACGGAACUAAGGUCAGAACGUGACAAUUAGGCUACGUUGGAAACCACCAAAUUCUGUUGAAACAUUUCUGAGUGGUAGAUCUUGAUUUGCCUUUUGACUCAGAAAGUGAUCUUUGGUGACAUUUUACUCUUAUUGCUUUUCACAAAAUGCAGACGUGAUUAAGUGUAGUUCAGAUCUUGCUUUGACAAUAACUGUGUUCAUGCAGUUUGAAUGUACGUUUCAAUGUUUUGUGUGGACCCCAGGAAGAGUUUUGUGCUCUGAGCCAGUGUACACCAAUUUGUACUCUGAGUCAGUGUACUGUAUAUUGUAAGUGUAACUUAAAUCAUGUGUCAGUAAAAUGUUCUCUAACCGUUCUAUGCUUUUACAUUUGGACUGUGGUCAUGCAUUAUUGUGCCAAUUUAUGUUUUAUAUAAAAACAUGUAUUGUAAAUUAUUCCAUGCCAAAUAUAAUUUUAAUCACA